Molecule: transfer RNA, 66 nt
Filed under: Cnemoplites edulis
Lineage: Eukaryota; Metazoa; Arthropoda; Insecta; Coleoptera; Cerambycidae
Also listed under: 1 other name
Description: tRNA-Pro
Source: RNAcentral
CAAGGAAUAGUUUAAAUAAAAUUUUAAUUUUGGAGAUUAAAGACAGGAUGAAUAUCUUUUCCUUGA